UUGAUCCUGGCUCAGAACGACGUUAGCGGCGCGCUUAAUACAUGCAAGUCGAGCGAGAAAGGGCUUCGGCCCCAGUAAAGCGGCGCACGGGUGAGUAACACGUAGGUGAUCUACCCUCGGGCGGUGGAUAACACCCCGAAAGGGGUGCUAAUACAGCAUAACGCCACGGCACUGAUAGUGCUGAUGCCAAAGCGGGCCUCUCUAUAGAAGCUCGCACCUGAGGAUGAGCCUGCGGCGCAUCAGCUUGUUGGUGGGGUAACGGCCUACCAAGGCGAAGACGCGUAGCUGGUCUGAGAGGAUGAACAGCCACACUGGAACUGAGACACGGUCCAGACUCCUACGGGAGGCAGCAGUGGGGAAUCUUGCGCAAUGGGCGAAAGCCUGACGCAGCGACGCCGCGUGAGCGAUGAAGGCCUUCGGGCUGUAAAGCUCUGUGGGGAGAGAAGAAUAAGGACAGACUAAUACUUUGCGUGAUGACGGUAUCUCCUUAGCAAGCACCGGCUAACUCUGUGGCCAGCAGCCGCGGUAAUACAGAGGGUGCAAACGUUGUUCGGAAUCACUGGGCGUAAAGCGGGUGUAGGCGGCAAGGCAAGUCGGGUGUGAAAUCCCAGGGCUCAACCCUGGAAGUGCAUUAGAAACUGCUUAGCUAGAGUCCUGGAGAGGAAGGUGGAAUGCUUGGUGUAAGGUGAAAUUCGUAAUAUCAAGCGGAAACACCGGUGGGCGAAGGCGGCCUUCCUGGGACAGUGACUGACGCUGAACGCGAAAGCGUGGGGAGCCAAACAGGAAUAAAUACCCUGGUAUUCCACGCCGUAACAAUGAGUGCUAUGGUUGUCACGGGCUUUGACCCUCGUGUGCCGAAGCUAACGCGUUAAGCACUCCGCCUUGGGGAGUACGCCGCAAGGCUAAAACUCAAAGGAAUUGACGGGGCCCGCACAAGCGGUGGAGCAUGUGGUUUAAUUCGACGCAACGCGCAGAACCUUACCUGGGCUAGAAAGUAUAGGAAUGCCGGUGAAAACUAGCAGUGCCCUUCGGGGAACCUAUAGUUAGGUGCUGCAUGGCUGUCGUCAGCUCGUGUCGUGAGAUGUUGGGUUAAGUCCCGCAACGAGCGCAACCCUUGCCGUUAGUUGCCAGCAUUAAGUUGGGCACUCUAACGGGACUGCCGACCUUUAAGUCGGAGGAAGGUGGGGAUGACGUCAAGUCCUCAUGGCCCUUACGUCCAGGGCUACACACGUGCUACAAUGGUCGGUACAAUGGGCUGCCAAACCGCGAGGUGGAGCCAAUCCCAAAAAACCGACCUCAGUACAGAUAAGAGUCUGCAACUCGACUCUUUGAAGGCGGAAUCGCUAGUAAUCCCUGAUCAGCAUAGCAGGGGUGAAUACGUUCCCGGGCCUUGUACACACCGCCCGUCACACCAUGGGAGUGGAUUGCUCCAGAAGUGGCUGAGCUAACUCGCAAGAGAGGCACUAUCCCCAAGGUAUGACUGGUGACUGGGGUGAAGUCGUAACAAGGUAGCCGUAGGGGAACCUGCGGCUGGAUCACCUCCUU
RNAcentral lists this ribosomal RNA (1545 nucleotides) under uncultured prokaryote. RNAcentral describes it as "partial 16S ribosomal RNA". It matches the Rfam family "Bacterial small subunit ribosomal RNA". The record is from RNAcentral.